Molecule: ribosomal RNA, 810 nt
Filed under: Collodiscula fangjingshanensis
Lineage: Eukaryota; Fungi; Ascomycota; Sordariomycetes; Xylariales
Description: eukaryotic LSU rRNA
Rfam family: Eukaryotic large subunit ribosomal RNA
Source: RNAcentral
GUAACGGCGAGUGAAGCGGCAACAGCUCAAAUUUGAAAUCUGGCCCUCGGGUCCGAGUUGUAAUUUGCAGAGGAUGCUUUUGGCGCGGUGCCUUCCGAGUUCCCUGGAACGGGACGCCUUAGAGGGUGAGAGCCCCGUACGGUUGGACACCAAGCCUCUGUAAAGCUCCUUCGACGAGUCGAGUAGUUUGGGAAUGCUGCUCUAAAUGGGAGGUAAAUUUCUUCUAAAGCUAAAUAUUGGCCAGAGACCGAUAGCGCACAAGUAGAGUGAUCGAAAGAUGAAAAGCACUUUGAAAAGAGGGUUAAAUAGCACGUGAAAUUGUUGAAAGGGAAGCGUUUGCGACCAGACCUCUUCCUGGCGGAUCAUCCGGUGUUCUCACCGGUGCACUUCGCCAGGUCUAGGCCAGCAUCGGUUUCCGCAGGGGGACAAAAGCUCCAGGAACGUAGCUCCCUCGGGAGUGUUAUAGCCUUCUGCAUAAUACCCUUGCGGGGACCGAGGACCGCGCUUCGGCAAGGAUGCUGGCGUAAUGGUCGUCAACGACCCGUCUUGAAACACGGACCAAGGAGUCGAACAUUUGUGCGAGUGUUUGGGUGUCAAACCCUCACGCGUAAUGAAAGUGAACGGAGGUGAGAGCCCUUACGGGUGCAUCAUCGACCGAUCCUGAUGUCUUCGGAUGGAUUUGAGUAAGAGCAUAACUGUUCGGACCCGAAAGAUGGUGAACUAUGCGUGGAUAGGGUGAAGCCAGAGGAAACUCUGGUGGAGGCUCGCAGCGGUUCUGACGUGCAAAUCGAUCGUCAAAUCUGCGCAUGG